UUAACUUUUCAAAAGUUUUUUAAUUAGAAACCCNUNUUUUUUCCCCGNCNCUGUUUGAUAACAUAGUNNAAAAAUAAACACUUCUCCCUUCCGUAUGNCCCCCGUGCCCCCGCCUUGCCCGCCGCGCGCGGCGGGCGGGGCGGGGGCACGGGGGGCCUACGGGAGGCAGCAGUGGGGAAUCUUGGACAAUGGGGGCAACCCUGAUCCAGCCAUGCCGCGUGUGUGAAGAAGGCCUUCGGGUUGUAAAGCACUUUCAGUAGGGAGGAAGGCUUNUCCUUAAUACGGAUGAGUACUGA
This 296-nucleotide ribosomal RNA is filed under the name uncultured bacterium. RNAcentral describes it as "partial 16S ribosomal RNA". The stretch from base 123 to 296 matches the Rfam family "Bacterial small subunit ribosomal RNA", at positions 34 to 476 of the family's 1533-position model. The record is from RNAcentral.